CAAACCUCAAGCUUAGCUUGGUCUUGGGCUCUGCCGGCAACGGCUGGCCUUAAAAACAGUGGCGGUGCCAUCGAGCUCUACGUGUAGUAAUUAAACCCUCGCGUGUGAGUUCCGGUGGAAACUUGCCAGUAACCCCCUAUUUUCUAU
This 147-nucleotide unclassified non-coding RNA is filed under the name uncultured Helotiales. RNAcentral's name for it is "sequence contains ITS2". Lineage: Eukaryota; Fungi; Ascomycota; Leotiomycetes; Helotiales. The record is from RNAcentral.